Molecule: ribosomal RNA, 495 nt
Filed under: uncultured bacterium
Lineage: Bacteria
Description: partial 16S ribosomal RNA
Rfam family: Bacterial small subunit ribosomal RNA
Source: RNAcentral
GACGAACGCUGGCGGCGUGCCUAAUACAUGCAAGUAGAACGCUGAAGGAGGAGUUUGCUUCUCUGGAUGAGUUGCGAACGGGUGAGUAACGCGUAGGUAACCUGCCUGGUAGCGGGGGAUAACUAUUGGAAACGAUAGCUAAUACUGCAUAAGAGUAGAUGUUGCAUGACAUUUGCUUAAAAUUUGCAAUUGCAUCACUACCAGAUGGACUUGCGUUGUAUUAGCUAGUUGGUGGGGUAACGGCUUACCAAGGCGACGAUACAUAGCCGAACGGAGAGGGUGGUAGGCCACCCUGGGACGGAGACGCGGCCCAGACGACUGCGGGAGGGAGCAGAAGGGUAUCGUCGGCAAUGGACGGAAGUCUGGCCGAGCGAGGCCGCGUGUGUGGAGGAGGUGCUCGGUUGGUAAAGAUCGGUUGUAAGUGAAGAACGAGUGUGGGAGUGGAAGGUGCACUCUGUGACGGUAUCUUAACAGAAAGGGACGGCUAACUACGUG